This is a long non-coding RNA of Bicyclus anynana (squinting bush brown), 2299 nucleotides long. RefSeq lists it as uncharacterized. The record is from RefSeq and is a predicted model, not a curated record. Lineage: Eukaryota; Metazoa; Arthropoda; Insecta; Lepidoptera; Nymphalidae. The transcript is spliced from 2 exons.
UACGCGACUUGAUUUCCAAUAGGUGUAGCAGCUACUUGCACCUGUUUGACAUUAUCACACAAUUUGACACUGUAUACAGACGUUGCCGCUCCGCACAAGUUAAUGUCAACAUUGUCAAGUCAACCUUUCCAACUGCGAGUAAACCAUCGCACUGUGCCCGAAUACGUAUGAAUAUAAGGUUAAUUUCAUUGUGUACUUUGUCACACUGUCUCACGUGUCUUCCGUUUAAGCUUUAGUGACUGGCUGUGUAUUAGUGUUUUGUGUUUUUCCGCGUUUAGCAAGCCUCGUUGACUGUGCAUUAUUUAUUUAUGUUUUUUCUAUAAAUAAAUUAAAAAUGUUUCUGUCAUAUGAAGUGGUGACAACGUUUGGCGUGUCGGCGUUCCUAUCAUUCUUCGUGUCAGUGACUAUUUUGCUCACCGUGGUAUCAAAACGAGGACUAUUACGACCACCUCCCGCAGAGAAGCCUUUGAUACCUCAAUGUAAAGAGAAACCUCCACCGUCAGCUCCUGAGUUGGCUGCAUUGGCCGAAUCUAUGUAAAACUAUGUAGCGUAUUAAUAAGUUUGCUAAGUAUAUUAAAAAUACAAUAAACGGGAUGUCGUAGUUUCAAAUCAAUGAUGUUAAAAGAAAAAAGCGGUAGAUAGGUUAUACACGCUGCAAGUGGCACGUUAAAACUAUGCUAAUUAGCAAACCUGAGCUCAGUCGCCGCACUGUCAUCGCGCCGUUGAUUGGCAGCUGAAAUAAUUUUUGUGUGCCAGUUCUAAACAUCGAAAUGUGGUUUAUGUUUUUUAUUAUUCUUUACAAGUUAGCCCUUGAUUACAAUCUCACCUGAUGUGUGAUGCAAUCUAACAUGGAAGCGGGUUAACUUGUUCGGAGGAGGAUGAAAAUCAAACCCUUUUCGGUUUCUACACGACAUCGUACCGGAACACUAACGGUGACGGUACGUGUUUGCCAGUAGGGUGGUAGCUAGGCACGACCGAAGCCUAUCUAGCUCUUUUUUCUUCUAACAUCAUUGUUUCAAGCCAUGUUGGCUGGCUAGCCAUCGUGUCAUUGUACUAGUAGCACUAUUCUGUUUUCUGUAAAGGUGUUUUGUGACUCGAUAGUGUGAAUUCUAAGAAUUCAUAUUGUCUCUCUCUCUAUCUCGUGUUACUCAGUCUCUCUAUGCUCCUUAUACUGGGGUUCGAUUCCGCUAUUUUAUACUCGUCGAUGUAAUAUUCGCUUAUAACACAUAUUAUUCGAAUUUGAACUUUAUUUCUAUGGUAAAUUAAAAUGACACUAACAACGAAGUUUCCGUGGAAACCAACUAUGCCACAGCAUUUUACUAUAUAGACCGCGGGGACUGUUCGUCGCGAUGUUGCCCUUACUUGCCCUUACACUUGCGUGAAAAUAUUUUGGGAAAAUUCGUGGCAAGACCAGUUAAUGUGGCCACCUCGCGCUGCCGUGUAAUUGCCCAGCCUGGCCAGUCAACUUCCCUGCUCGCUUUUCUCGUUACUUCCCACGCCACUAAUGCAGUGUGGCUUUAGAGAAGGAGAGAUAGAUAAGAAUUUGAUACUCAGACUGUCGAGUUAUAAAACAUCGUUACAGAAUAACACUACAAAUCAUUAGUGUUUUAAGAAUCAUCCACCAUCCAUAAGGUCACAACCUUCAUAAGCCAUGUGGAAUAGGUCCAAGUAGGUAUCAUAAGUUUUAAACUUUUUAACUGGACAGGCUAAAGGUCAAAACUCAUUAUUAAGCCUCAGACACCCAACGGGAACGUCUCGCCUAUACCAACCGCGCGGUCACCUCGCCGGCCGCUUGCCAAUACGAGCGUACAUUAACUUUGAAUGUCCGAGAGCUGGAGGACAUUUUUGGAUAUUUGCGGUUGUAAGCUCUUGGUCCAAUAUAAAUUAUACUUGACAUUGGUACAUUCAUCAUCAUCAGCUUAGGACCUGCUGGAUAUUGGCCUCUUGCAUGGACUUCCAACCACCUUCCACCAGCAUCAGCGGUUCUCUGCAAUGUCUCUGUCCGCUUUAUGUCCUAAGUCCUCAUAGUGGGAUAGUGGGGGGUCGACCAACAUUGCUUUGCGACCACCUCUUAUAAGAACAAUAUGGUACCUACAUUAUCAGUAUCUUAUAAUGUUAUUUAUAUAUAAUAGGUACACCCAACAAUUAAUACAAUUUCGUGUUUGAAUUGUACAUUAGUAGUUACCUUAAAUAUUUUUGUUAGUGGGUGCUUAUUUUUAUUUUUUCUUACCGUCGUCUGUGUUUCACUAAAUCAUUUUUGAUCAUAUUUUUACUUUUUAAAUAAAAAAUAAUUUUAGGA